CUCAGUUGGGCUCGUGGCACUAUCGAGGUGGUCGGCGGCACUCUCCUCCACGCUUACCUUCCCUCAGUCAGUGCCAAACUAAUUAAUUACCUGGUUUUUGUAUUUUCACUGACUAGCUGACGGACUGACUCACUCACUGACUCACUCACUGACUCACUCACUCAGUUUUGUCGCGGCUCCGUCAGUGAAUCACCAACCACCACCACCACCACCAGCAGUGUUAUGAGUGUCCAGACUGUGGUGAAGAAGCUACAUACACUCACAUAGACGCUUCAGUAAAAAUAGUUAACGGUGAAGGAGGUGUUGGUGGGUGUGAGCAGCUGGCUGGUGGAGAUAGUGUUUACUGCAGCAGUGGGGGGUGAUAGUGUUUUAAUAAUUAUACAGUACUACAGAGUGACUUCUGCAGGCCACCACCCACAGCCACCACCACCCACAGCCACUACUACCACUACCCACAGCCACUACUACCACCACCCACAGCCACUACCACCACCACCCACAGCCACUACCACCAGCAGCAGCCUUGGGUUAGCUAAACAGCGCGGUGCCGUAAUUGCGUUAACGGGUAGUAAGAGUGUGGGAGGAGUGUAGUAGCCAUGGGGGAGGAGUGGACGCUACCCCCUUCCAGCACCACACCCCGGAGGUGACGGCCUGUUGUGUCAUCGUCAACACUCUGCCAGACUGGUUAAAUGGUUCUUUGUGAACACGUGGACUCAUAAAUGGAUUGUGUGAGCACGUAGAAGGACCCACACAUGGCUCUGGUGAACACGAGUGUUGAUGGGUUGGUGGGGAGUGCGGCCAUUUUGGAUGAGAUGGAGCAGAGCGGCGGCGACUAUAACCCCCUCACGUCAGACCCGCCGACCAUGGGAGAUAACUCGACCUACAAGGAUUAUGGCAUAGCGGUGGUGUCGACCCUCUCCUUCUUCUUGGUGGUGUCCAUGGUGCUGGCCCUGGGAGGCAACGUGAUGGUGAUCAUCACCAUCGUCAGACACCGCGGCAUGCGCACCAGGACCAACCUCUUGCUGGCUAACCUGGCGGUGGCCGACAUCUUGGUGGCGGUGCUGGACAUGCCCAUCGCCCUCGUCACCAUCAUCAACGGCAACUGGGUGUUUGAUGACGUCUUCUGCUACUUCAACGGGUUCGCCGUGGGUCUGGGCCUCAUGCUCUCCGUCCACACCCUCAUGUGGAUCAGUAUUCACAAGUUCAUCUCCAUCACCCGGCCGUUCUCAAGGUCUGUGACGCCGGGGAAGAUCGUGAUGAUGAUCGUUGCAGCGUGGACUUGGACCAUCUUGUUCAACCUCACUCCCACACCUCUCAUUGGUUGGACUAAAUCAGUGUACAAGAAAGGAGCUUCACAGUGUGGCCCUCCCCCACCAAAAGCGAAGAUGCAGUUUGUCCACGCUGGCCUCAAUACCUCCGUCAACCUGGUCAUCCCCAUCAUCGUCAUGAGCUACUGUUACUACCGAAUCUUUAAGGAAGUCAGAGAUCAUCUUAGUAGGAUGAGAGACUUUGCUGAUGCAAGUAUGCGUUGCUCUCUGAUACAACAGAAGCGCAUCACAGAGACACUCUGUAUUGUGAUGUCGAUGUUUGUGUUGUUCUGGAUGCCCUACAUCGUGUAUUCUCUCUCUCUUGUGUUCCUCGGCCAAGAGAACGUUUUAGAAGUGUUCAACCCAAUAGGGUACUUAUUUGGUUACAUGAACUCAGCAUGUAACCCUAUUAUCUAUGCACUUCGCUCACCCUCAUUUCGUCGUGGCUUCAGUGAGAUCAUCUGCAGAAACCAGGGGGGUACACCAGCAUAUUCCUUAAGUGGUGGUUCCCUCAUCCAAGGACGGUCAACCAUUAGAAGAACGGUCACUGAUCACUCUGUUGUAUUUUCCGGGGAUGACAGAAACUUUAUAGAGUACAUGAACCUUCACAAUUUGGGGGACGAGAGAUACCCUGUGUUUGAGUGCAGCAUCCGUCCCUCACGGACACUCACACCCCAGUGUGCUGUAACACUAACAAAGGCAGUGCACUUUCCUCAAGAAUGAUCUUGAUUUAAAGAUCACUUUUAACUUUAGAAUUGAAAUUUUAAUAGAUGCCAUUACAGAUAGAUCACAAUAUGAUCGUGUCCCAGUGUCAAACCAGUAUGGAAGGAUGAUAGUGUCAUUCCGGCAGUCACUGGGGAGAACUGGAAACAAGAGCA
RNAcentral lists this unclassified non-coding RNA (2185 nucleotides) under Homarus americanus (American lobster). RNAcentral describes it as "alpha-2A adrenergic receptor-like, transcript variant X6". The record is from RNAcentral. Lineage: Eukaryota; Metazoa; Arthropoda; Malacostraca; Decapoda; Nephropidae.